This 81-nucleotide transfer RNA is filed under the name Pseudomonadota bacterium. RNAcentral's name for it is "tRNA-Leu". It matches the Rfam family "tRNA". From Rfam's summary of the family: Transfer RNA (tRNA) molecules are approximately 80 nucleotides in length. Their secondary structure includes four short double-helical elements and three loops (D, anti-codon, and T loops). Further hydrogen bonds mediate the characteristic L-shaped molecular structure. tRNAs have two regions of fundamental functional importance: the anti-codon, which is responsible for specific mRNA codon recognition, and the 3' end, to which the tRNAs corresponding amino acid is attached (by aminoacyl-tRNA synthetases). tRNAs cope with the degeneracy of the genetic code in two manners: having more than one tRNA (with a specific anti-codon) for a particular amino acid; and 'wobble' base-pairing, i.e. permitting non-standard base-pairing at the 3rd anti-codon position. Lineage: Bacteria; Pseudomonadati; Pseudomonadota. The record is from RNAcentral. RNAcentral also lists the same sequence under 3 other names.
GCGGGAGUGGCGGAAUGGUAUACGCAUCAGUCUUAAAAACUGAGGAGGCAACUCAUACGGGUUCGACUCCCGUCUCCCGCA